Molecule: long non-coding RNA, 1135 nt
Organism: Armigeres subalbatus
Lineage: Eukaryota; Metazoa; Arthropoda; Insecta; Diptera; Culicidae
Exons: 3
Source: RefSeq, a predicted model, not a curated record
UUUCCAUGAUUCGCUUUGAAUGAUUAUAUUUUUUCAGAUCCCGGUCACUAUUGCGGAGGCGGAACUACCAAGCAUCAAAUCCAGAACUAAAUAAAACAAAAUUAUCCCAGCCUCAGUUUUCUUACAUCUCAUUAUUUGAGUAAGGACAGCCAACACAUUACCUCAUGAAUGGCAGCAAAAAUAAAACUCUAGGACAGCAUUUGUUUUUUGACACCGGUGUACAUAAGCUACCCGGGAAUAGCUUUAACAAAAUAUGGGCAUCAUAACAUAAUAAAAUUCAGGGACCAUCGAACAUUGAGUAGUGAGAUGUUUGCAGCAACAUGUGAGUAGUGGAAAGUGAGAAAUGAGAAGUGAGAAGUUAGUUAUGAAAUUUGCGAAGUGAGGAGUAGGAUGUGAGUAGUGAGAUAAACAGAAGCAAAAAGUGAGAAGCGAGAGAUGAUGAUUGGGAGUAAGAAGCGAGAUGAUGAGUAGUGAGAAGUGAGUGGAGAGAUAUAAGACAGAAAGAAGGAAGACAGAAGAAAUAAGAAGAAAGACGGAAAGAGAAAGAAUCUCGUUUCUCACUUCUCGUUCCUUGGUUCUCACUUCUCACUUCUUACUACUCCCUUCUCACAACUCACUUCUUACUCCUCAUUUCUCACUUCAUAACACUAGUAAAUACUAGUGUACAUCUCGCUUCUCUCCCCUUUUUACCCAAUUUUCACUUCUCACUGUUUUUAGCGUUAAACUUAAUUUCAAGAAUAAAAAACACCUUAGUAAAGUUUAAAAAAUUCUCUCUGUUCAUUUAUCACUUUUUAUUAUCAGGGUUUGAAUCCAAAAGAGAAUUACAAAGUCUUUCACUUAUCGUCUCUGUAUACUUAUACGAUAUCUAGCAUACCGCGAGAGAUUUUUUUCGCAAUCUGUCAUGAUAGAGUACUGAUUCAGGAGGCUAUACCCCAUGAUAAAUUUCUUUUAGAAAGCUCCAAAUGCGGGGAUCACUGGCACUGAUGAUGCAUUUCAACUUGUUCGAGCUGUGCAGUAACCACCACGAAAAGAGCGAAAAUCAACACUUCCGUGGGGGGCGAACCUAUCCGAUUUUGUUAUCUCGCACUUGUAUACAAGUUUGAUAAAUUUGUUAUCAUGGCUUGUUAUGAUUCGG